CAAAAGCAUCAGGAGCGGUCUGCAGAUGCAGGCCCGGCAACCGAGCAGGAGACGCCACGGUGCCUCGGUCGAAACGACCGGAUGCGGCAGCAGCAAAAUGGUCUUCACAA
RNAcentral lists this non-coding RNA (110 nucleotides) under Deltaproteobacteria bacterium. RNAcentral's name for it is "SAM-I-IV sequence". It matches the Rfam family "SAM-I/IV (S-adenosyl methionine) riboswitch aptamer". From Rfam's summary of the family: It is found upstream of a number of genes which code for proteins involved in methionine or cysteine biosynthesis. It has been found mostly in the order Actinomycetales. The record is from RNAcentral. Lineage: Bacteria; Pseudomonadati; Myxococcota; Myxococcia.